GCUUCUUUUUCCACCGGAGCUUGCUCCACCGGAAAAAGAAGAGUGGCGAACGGGUGAGUAACACGUGGGUAACCUGCCCAUCAGAAGGGGAUAACACUUGGAAACAGGUGCUAAUACCGUAUAACAAUCAAAACCGCAUGGUUUUGAUUUGAAAGGCGCUUUCGGGUGUCGCUGAUGGAUGGACCCGCGGUGCAUUAGCUAGUUGGUGAGGUAACGGCUCACCAAGGCCACGAUGCAUAGCCGACCUGAGAGGGUGAUCGGCCACAUUGGGACUGAGACACGGCCCAAACUCCUACGGGAGGCAGCAGUAGGGAAUCUUCGGCAAUGGACGAAAGUCUGACCGAGCAACGCCGCGUGAGUGAAGAAGGUUUUCGGAUCGUAAAACUCUGUUGUUAGAGAAGAACAAGGAUGAGAGUAACUGUUCAUCCCUUGACGGUAUCUAACCAGAAAGCCA
RNAcentral lists this ribosomal RNA (454 nucleotides) under Enterococcus faecium. Its description in RNAcentral is "bacterial SSU rRNA". It matches the Rfam family "Bacterial small subunit ribosomal RNA", at positions 68 to 493 of the family's 1533-position model. The record is from RNAcentral. Lineage: Bacteria; Bacillati; Bacillota; Bacilli; Lactobacillales; Enterococcaceae.